Molecule: ribosomal RNA, 253 nt
Filed under: uncultured bacterium
Lineage: Bacteria
Description: partial 16S ribosomal RNA
Rfam family: Bacterial small subunit ribosomal RNA
Source: RNAcentral
UACGUAGGGUGCAAGCGUUAAUCGGAAUUACUGGGCGUAAAGCGUGCGCAGGCGGUUCGCUAAGACCGAUGUGAAAUCCCCGGGCUUAACCUGGGAACUGCAUUGGUGACUGGCGGGCUAGAGUAUGGCAGAGGGGGGUAGAAUUCCACGUGUAGCAGUGAAGUGCGUAGAGAUGUGGAGGAAUACCGAUGGCGAAGGCAGCCCCCUGGGCCAAUACUGACGCUCAUGCACGAAAGCGUGGGGAGCAAACAGG